Molecule: transfer RNA, 75 nt
Filed under: Ascidiaceihabitans donghaensis
Lineage: Bacteria; Pseudomonadati; Pseudomonadota; Alphaproteobacteria; Rhodobacterales; Paracoccaceae
Description: tRNA-Arg
Rfam family: tRNA
About the family: Transfer RNA (tRNA) molecules are approximately 80 nucleotides in length. Their secondary structure includes four short double-helical elements and three loops (D, anti-codon, and T loops). Further hydrogen bonds mediate the characteristic L-shaped molecular structure. tRNAs have two regions of fundamental functional importance: the anti-codon, which is responsible for specific mRNA codon recognition, and the 3' end, to which the tRNAs corresponding amino acid is attached (by aminoacyl-tRNA synthetases). tRNAs cope with the degeneracy of the genetic code in two manners: having more than one tRNA (with a specific anti-codon) for a particular amino acid; and 'wobble' base-pairing, i.e. permitting non-standard base-pairing at the 3rd anti-codon position.
Source: RNAcentral
UGGAAAUGUAGCUCAGGCGGUAGAGCAGUAGGUUCCUAACCUUCAUGUCGCAGGUUCGAUUCCUGCCUUUUCACC